RNAcentral lists this ribosomal RNA (497 nucleotides) under uncultured bacterium. Its description in RNAcentral is "partial 16S ribosomal RNA". It matches the Rfam family "Bacterial small subunit ribosomal RNA", at positions 28 to 507 of the family's 1533-position model. The record is from RNAcentral.
GAUGAACGCUGGCGGCGUGCCUAAUACAUGCAAGUCGAGCGAACGGACGAGAAGCUUGCUUCUCUGAUGUUAGCGGCGGACGGGUGAGUAACACGUGGAUAACCUACCUAUAAGACUGGGAUAACUUCGGGAAACCGGAGCUAAUACCGGAUAAUAUUUUGAACCGCAUGGUUCACAUGUGAAAGACGGUCUUGCUGUCACUUAUAGAUGGAUCCGCGCUGCAUUAGCUAGUUGGUAAGGUAACGGCUUACCAAGGCAACGAUGCAUAGCCGACCUGAGAGGGUGGUCGACCACACUGGAACUGAGAAACGGUCCCGACUCCUACGGGGGGCAGCAGUAGGGAAUCUUCCGCAAUGGGCGAAAGCCUGACGGAGCAACGCCGCGUGAGUGAUGAAGGUCUUCGGAUCGUAAAACUCUGUUAUUAGGGAAGAACAUAUGUGUAAGUAUCUGUGCACAUCUUGACGGUACCUAAUCAGAAAGCCACGGCUAACUACGUG